GCCAGAUCUCAAGGUGGCUGCUAAAACCACGUGUUCUGCCUGUCUUUCUCCAGCAGUGAGGCUUGCUCCCACCUAUGGCCUCCAAGAGGAGAAUGAAGAUGACAGAAGAAGGAGAUGUGGCCUUCAGGAACACCCCCCACCUCAACGCACACACCAGCUGAGCAUCUCUGCCAGAUAAGAAAGUGGGCAAGAUGGAGCAAAGACGACAUGUUCUGGGAGGUACUGCACUCCUCCAAUGCAGAGAAAAUGGAACACAAGAAGUGGUGGGAAGCCAAAAGGCAGGACAGGAAAGAAAAUCAGGAGUUUGUUAAGGAUGCUACUAAGCGGGUGAUUAAAGUAAUGGAAGAGGAAACGCAGAUGCUGAAGUCCUUAAUAACGCUGCAGACUGAGCAGAUCCAGGCCCGCCCUCCCCUGCAGCACAUUCAGAACUCUUUUCCAUGCUUCCCCAAACUCCACCCGCACAGUGCUUUCCACUUUUUGGGACUUCUGGGUUUCCCCGUCAGUCCACUCCUUCGGCAACUUUCAUAAUGAUAGCUGGACCUACACACGGGUCUGAAAGUCUACCCUUCCCUGGUACCUCCUUUCACACCAAGCAUCUUUGUGUGAGUUGUUUCUUGUGCAAUAAAAGCAAAGUUUUUGAAUGGUAA
This is a long non-coding RNA of Mauremys mutica (yellowpond turtle), 647 nucleotides long. RefSeq lists it as uncharacterized. The record is from RefSeq and is a predicted model, not a curated record. NCBI's taxonomy places the organism in Eukaryota, Metazoa, Chordata, Testudines, Geoemydidae. The transcript is spliced from 3 exons.